This 253-nucleotide ribosomal RNA is filed under the name uncultured bacterium. Its description in RNAcentral is "partial 16S ribosomal RNA". It matches the Rfam family "Bacterial small subunit ribosomal RNA", at positions 524 to 776 of the family's 1533-position model. The record is from RNAcentral.
UACGUAGGUGGCAAGCGUUGUCCGGAUUUAUUGGGUUUAAAGGGUGCGUAGGCGGUUCUAUAAGUCAGUGGUGAAAUCCGGCAGCUCAACUGUCGAUGUGCCAUUGAUACUGCAGAACUUGAGUACAGACGAGGUAGGCGGAAUUGACGGUGUAGCGGUGAAAUGCUUAGAUAUCGUCAAGAACACCGAUAGCGAAGGCAGCUUACUAGACUGUAACUGACGCUGAUGCGCGAAAGUGUGGGGAUCAAACAGG